CGGUCUUACUAAUAAAAAAUCACUAUACAUGCGUUAUGACAAGGUGAUAGUAAUUCAGUGAAUAGAGCUUGUACAGGGCAUAAACUCCUCUUUGACCAAUAAUCGAUGUGUAUUGGUUGAAUAACAAAACGACCCUUAUUUAUUGUUACCCUGGCAACCCGCCGUGUUUGAUUGACGUUUGAUUUAAUAAUUUUGAUACGACUCAUAAUUCUAAUGUAAGUUGUAUUUAUUUUAUCAACCAAAGCAAUUAUAUACACAUUUACUCAAUAUACUAAUAACAUUUUAUUAUUUGCAGCUAAUAUAAACUCCAAAACCUCAGACAAAGAGGACUAGAAUUUUACAUAAAAAGCCGCGUUCUGCAGUACAAAAGUUAGAAGAGGCAUCUCAAAUAGUGGAAAGUGCCAAACUCCGCAACACGGUAGUGUUCCAGUGUUUCCAGGAAGAGCACGAAACAAAACAAAGGCAGAUGGCUGAAACACAUGAGCUCAAACAGAAGCGACUCGCCGAAGCUCACGAAAGGGCUAGACAGAAGCAUCUUCUAAGGCUCAAAUUGUUACAGCAGCAAUUAAAUAAAUAAUUAUAUACUUAUAAAAAAAAUAAAACCCCCGUUUUAAAUGAAA
Molecule: long non-coding RNA, 620 nt
Organism: Pieris napi
Lineage: Eukaryota; Metazoa; Arthropoda; Insecta; Lepidoptera; Pieridae
Exons: 2
Source: RefSeq, a predicted model, not a curated record